GAUGAACGCUGGCGGCGUGCCUAAUACAUGCAAGUCGAGCGAACAGACGAGGAGCUUGCUCCUCUGACGUUAGCGGCGGACGGGUGAGUAACACGUGGAUAACCUACCUAUAAUACUGGGAUAACUUCGGGAAACCGGAGCUAAUACCGGAUAAUAUAUUGAACCGCAUGGUUCAAUAGUGAAAGACGGUUUUGCUGUCACUUAUAGAUGGAUCCGCGCCGCAUUAGCUAGUUGGUAAGGUAACGGCUUACCAAGGCGACGAUGCGUAGCCGACCUGAGAGGGUGAUCGGCCACACUGGAACUGAGACACGGUCCAGACUCCUACGGGAGGCAGCAGUAGGGAAUCUUCCGCAAUGGGCGAAAGCCUGACGGAGCAACGCCGCGUGAGUGAUGAAGGUCUUCGGACCGUAAAACUCUGUUAUUAGGGAAGAACAAAUGUGUAAGUAACUAUGCACGUCUUGACGGUACCUAAUCAGAAAGCCACGGCUAACUACGUG
Molecule: ribosomal RNA, 497 nt
Filed under: uncultured bacterium
Lineage: Bacteria
Description: partial 16S ribosomal RNA
Rfam family: Bacterial small subunit ribosomal RNA
Source: RNAcentral